Molecule: ribosomal RNA, 390 nt
Filed under: uncultured bacterium
Lineage: Bacteria
Description: bacterial SSU rRNA
Rfam family: Bacterial small subunit ribosomal RNA
Source: RNAcentral
AUUAAACGCUGGCGGCAUGCCUUACACAUGCAAGUCGAACGGCAGCACGGGGGCAACCCUGGUGGCGAGUGGCGGACGGGUGAGUAAAGCAUCGGAACGUAUCCUGGAGUGGGGGAUAACGUAGCGAAAGUUACGCUAAUACCGCAUAUUCUGUGAGCAGGAAAGCAGGGGAUCGCAAGACCUUGCGCUCUGGGAGCGGCCGAUGUCGGAUUAGCUAGUUGGUGGGGUAAAGGCCUACCAAGGCGACGAUCCGUAGCGGGUCUGAGAGGAUGAUCCGCCACACUGGGACUGAGACACGGCCCAGACUCCUACGGGAGGCAGCAGUGGGGAAUUUUGGACAAUGGGCGCAAGCCUGAUCCAGCCAUGCCGCGUGAGUGAAGAAGGCCUCGG